Molecule: long non-coding RNA, 692 nt
Filed under: Ananas comosus (pineapple)
Lineage: Eukaryota; Viridiplantae; Streptophyta; Magnoliopsida; Poales; Bromeliaceae
Description: long non-coding RNA (ACOM_LNC017501)
Source: RNAcentral
UUUCUAAAAAAUAAUUUUUGUUAUUUUUUUAUAUCAUUUACCUAGUUAUCGAAAGGAUUCAAAAUCAAUAAUUUUUAAUGGUUGAUAUAUGCCGUUUUCAAGUUUAACGGUGUAGAAGUAUUCAAAUCAGAUGAAAUUUUGAUACAAAAUUCUUUAUACUAUCUACAACAAGAUCAAUAUUUCUGAUCGAAAAUUAUAGUGCUAUAUCACCACUUUUUAUAGGAUUUUUAUUUUCAGCCGUUAAAAAUUAUUGACUUUGAAUCCUUUCGAUUGCUAGGUAAUGAUAUCAAAAAAUGGCAAAAAUUAUUUUCUAGAAACUUCAAAUACGCUAGAUCAAGUCUAACGGAGCCGAUCGUUGAUUCGGAAAUUCCAUCAUCGAAAAUGGCUCAGGAGCACGGAGGCCUCCUUGCUCCUGAGAGCACAGCAGCACUUAUAAAAGCACCAAGCACUUAUUGCUUGUAAAUUUUUUACCUUUAGAUCUACACCUUUGAUCAUUUUUACCCGUUAGUUUGUACUAUUGAACCAACCACCUACUCAACCCUAGGGGGCCCACAUAUAGAGUCCAGCUAUGGUGCUAGUAAAAGCACCAAGCACUUAUUGCUUGUAAAUUUUUUACCUUUAGAUCUACACCUUUGAUCAUUUUUACCCGUUAGUUUAUACUAUUGAACCAACCACCCCCUCAACCCUAGGGG